UAGGGUCGACGUUGGUCGAUGGCGUGUCGUCAGCUCGUGUCGUGAGAUGUUGGGUUAAGUCCCGCAACGAGCGCAACCCCUAUUGUUAGUUGCCAUCAUUCAGUUGGGCACUCUAGCGAGACUGCCGGUAAUAAACCGGAGGAAGUGGGGAUGACGUCAAAUCAUCAUGCCCCUUAUGACCUGGGCUACACACGUGCUACAAUGGUUGGUACAACGAGUUGCGAGUCGGUGACGGCGAGCUAAUCUCUUAAAGCCAAUCUCAGUUCGGAUUGUAGGCUGCAACUCGCCUACAUGAAGUCGGAAUCGCUAGUAAUCGCGGAUCAGCACGCCGCGGUGAAUACGUUCCCGGGCCUU
RNAcentral lists this ribosomal RNA (354 nucleotides) under uncultured Streptococcus sp. RNAcentral describes it as "bacterial SSU rRNA". It matches the Rfam family "Bacterial small subunit ribosomal RNA", at positions 1027 to 1382 of the family's 1533-position model. The record is from RNAcentral. Lineage: Bacteria; Bacillati; Bacillota; Bacilli; Lactobacillales; Streptococcaceae.